Molecule: ribosomal RNA, 495 nt
Filed under: uncultured bacterium
Lineage: Bacteria
Description: partial 16S ribosomal RNA
Rfam family: Bacterial small subunit ribosomal RNA
Source: RNAcentral
GACGAACGCUGGCGGCGUGCCUAAUACAUGCAAGUAGAACGCUGAAGGAGGAGCUUGCUUCUCCGGAUGAGUUGCGAACGGGUGAGUAACGCGUAGGUAACCUGCCUGGUAGCGGGGGAUAACUAUUGGAAACGAUAGCUAAUACCGCAUAAGAGUAGAUGUCGCAUGACAUUUGCUUAAAAGGUGCAACUGCACCACUACCAGAUGGACCUGCGUUGUAUUAGCUAGUUGGUGAGGUAACGGCUCACCAAGGCAACGAUACAUCGCCGACCUGAGAGGGUGAUCGGCCACACUGGGACUGAGACACGGCCCAGACUCCUACGGGAGGCAGCAGUAGGGAAUCUUCGGCAAUGGACGGAAGUCUGACCGAGCAACGCCGCGUGAGUGAAGAAGGGUUUCGGAUCGUAAAGCUCUGUUGUAAGAGAAGAACGAGUGUGAGAGUGGAAAGUUCACACUGUGACGGUAUCUUACCAGAAAGGGACGGCUAACUACGUG